Long non-coding RNA from Bolinopsis microptera, 1284 nucleotides. RefSeq lists it as uncharacterized. Lineage: Eukaryota; Metazoa; Ctenophora; Tentaculata; Lobata; Bolinopsidae. The transcript is spliced from 7 exons. The record is from RefSeq and is a predicted model, not a curated record.
UCCAUCAUCCAUAUUUCUGCUCUUAGUUCUUUAGUUGCUUUAUAAUGUGUCAGCAGUAAUCAGCCCUGCUGUAUUAUAUAUUGUACUUGAUUGUUGAUACCUAAUUAAUUAACUGUUUACGAUGGCAGUUAUGGCGGAUGAUGAUUAAUCACUCUACAAUCGCCUGUCACGUGACUUCUUCAACCCGUUCUGUAGAUGGCCCUAAACAACUAUAUUCGAACCCCGGAAACCAUAACCCUCUAAUCAGAUCCCAACCCUAACGGCCUAACCCUAACCAAAUCCUUUACAAAAGCAUAUACUGAAACACUAUAGAGAAAUUAUACGGUCAUAUCACGUGAUCGAGACAGUUUUUCGCCAAUAUCUCGUUAGGGGAGAAUUUUAACCUUAUGUCAUGGGGGUAAUAGCAAAUUUUAGUUAAAGAGUAAAUCAAAGUUAGCAAUCAUUGAACUCAAUAGUUAAAAAGGAGAAGCUAAAAGCGCUGAAAGACCAAGGAGCUGUUGAAUCAGCACGCUGAAGAAGUACAGAGACUGGCGAACAAGCUGAUAAACUCAGACAGCAGCAAAAACUUCAAUAGUUAUGGUAGGCGAUGCACCAGUUGACAUAAUUCUAAGAAUGACUGUAACUGCGUAUACUGAUCUCAAACUCGAAGUAACAUCCCAAGAUGAACUACUAUUUUUAAUCGUGCAUGAGAAACUAAAGUAUUAUGAUAGGGGGCUUUUUAAAAAGUUACUGACAUGACGCUGGUCCUCACUUUUUGGAGUCUCUACUCCCUCAUUUCCAGGCUGAACAGGAAGCUGUACAACAACCGGUCUGACAAGUUACAAGUGGUGGACCUACAUCAUCUAGAUGUACAGGUAUAAAUUCUACUAGUACGAUUCGAUGCAGUGGAAGAGGUUGAAGUUGACGUUUAAGCAGUCACCCUGCCGAACAAGAAAUCAGUCAGGCAAAGAGGCUAGGUUGACUAAAAACUCAAUCACUGUAUCCGUGAAACUUGCUGGAAGCUAUGAGUAUCGGUCAUCAGACACUAAAGAGGACCAAUUAUUCUAUGUUCUACAUCUUCAAUGAUUAAUAAAGAUCUCGGAUUGCUCCUACUAAUGCAUGAUGUGUUAAAAUGAAAGAGAAAGAGAAACCACUCAUUUAUGAUUUACUUUUAGUAUUAUGUCUUAACAAUGAUAUUGAAGUUGAUCUUAAAAACUGUCUAUGAACCCUUGCUAAAUGAUUUGGGAAGGUGUUAGGGCUAAAUAUACCUGUAGACAUCACUUUCAGUGAUUUUUAUGAAAUUAA